Molecule: long non-coding RNA, 537 nt
Filed under: Phoenix dactylifera (date palm)
Lineage: Eukaryota; Viridiplantae; Streptophyta; Magnoliopsida; Arecales; Arecaceae
Description: long non-coding RNA (PDAC_LNC012618)
Source: RNAcentral
GAAUAAUCUAAGUUUCAGAGCAUCAUCAGUGAAAUUCUGAAUCUUGACAGUGGUGCAGAUUUCAAGGAAUUCAUCUAGGUGUUUAUAUGGGUCUUCGUUGGUGAGCCCGUAAAAAGAUGGAAACAUUUGGAUCACACUAGACUUUAUUUCAUAUUGUACAGCUGCUACCUCAGGUAAUCGAAUGCAAGAUGGAGAAGUGUAAAUGGUGGGAGUAAAGUACUCCCUCAGGAGUUUGGUUGUUCUUCAGCCAUCUUAAGAGGUGGGCAUGAUUCUAAUGUUUUGAUCUUAGCUCGAAUAUUCCUAAGGGUCCGUUCUAUUUCAGGGUCAAAAGGUAAUAGGUCAUGCACUCUAGAACGACUCCCUUGCAUAAACUAGUACUUGAUCAGUCAAGCAUGCAGUAAAAGAAAAACACAUCAAAUCCUUGUAUUUGCCCUAAAAUCACUAGACAGCUCCUAACUGGUUUGAAGAGGGCACCUAAGCCUCCAAUCCGGUCUAAUGAACUGAGUUGACCAGGUAAGCUCCCAGGUAAGUGGGGGG